This 550-nucleotide ribosomal RNA is filed under the name uncultured Bacillota bacterium. RNAcentral's name for it is "bacterial SSU rRNA". It matches the Rfam family "Bacterial small subunit ribosomal RNA", at positions 940 to 1500 of the family's 1533-position model. The record is from RNAcentral. Lineage: Bacteria; Bacillati; Bacillota.
UGUGGUUUUAUUGGAAGCAACGUGGAGAACCUUACCAACACUUGACAUCCUUCUGACGGUUUGGUAAUAGAAACUUUCCUUCGGGACAGAAGUGACAGGUGGGGCAUGGUUGUCGUCAGCUCGUGGUCGUGAGAUGUUGGGGUUAAGUCCCGCAACGAGCGCAACCCCUAUCUUUAGUUGCCAGCACUUAGGGUGGGCACUCUAGAGAGACUGCCGAGGAUAACUCGGAGGAAGGUGGGGAUGACGUCAAAUCAUCAUGCCCCUUAUGUUUUGGGCUACACACGUGCUACAAUGGCUGGUACAGAGGGCAGCGAUAGAGUGAUCUGGAGCAAAUCCUAAAAGCCAGUCCCAGUUCGGAUUGUAGGCUGAAACUCGCCUACAUGAAGCUGGAGUUGUCUAGUAAUCGUGAAUCAGAAUGUCACGGUGAAUGCGUUCCCGGGUCUUGUACACACCGCCCGUCACACCAUGGAAGUUGGGGGCACCCGAAGUCAGUCGAUAAAGGCUGCCGAAGGUGAAAUCAAUGACUAGGGUGAAGUCGUAACAAGGUAAC